AAUAAGCUAAUUAAGAGCGUAAGGUGGAUGCCUUGGCUCUCAGAGGCGAUGAAGGACGUGAUAAGCUGCGAUAAGCUACGGGGAUUGGCACACACAAUUUGAUCCGUAGAUUUCCGAAUGGGGAAACCCACUAUAUUGAAGAUAUAGUAUCCGUUAAGGAAGCAAACCCAGGGAACUGAAACAUCUAAGUACCUGGAGGAAUAGAAAACAAAAGUGAUUCCGCUAGUAGUGGCGAGCGAACGCGGAUCAGCCCAAA
Molecule: ribosomal RNA, 256 nt
Filed under: uncultured Flavobacteriaceae bacterium
Lineage: Bacteria; Pseudomonadati; Bacteroidota; Flavobacteriia; Flavobacteriales; Flavobacteriaceae
Description: partial 23S ribosomal RNA
Rfam family: Bacterial large subunit ribosomal RNA
Source: RNAcentral